This is a long non-coding RNA of Phyllopteryx taeniolatus (common seadragon), 1586 nucleotides long. RefSeq lists it as uncharacterized. The transcript has 6 exons. The record is from RefSeq and is a predicted model, not a curated record. Lineage: Eukaryota; Metazoa; Chordata; Actinopteri; Syngnathiformes; Syngnathidae.
UUGAUUUUUUUUUUACACGAACAGAGGCGUCCACGAAAACAAAGAAAGCGUAUUGUCUCCACGUCGGCUGCUGUUGGACUCAUCACCUGCACGUCAACACGCCAGCUGUGGAAAAAGUGGCGACAUGUCGUGAACGACAGGAUCGAGGAGGUUUUGAGCGGACACGUGGACGGGUCUGCGCUACGAUGACGAGGACAACCUGCUUUUGGACAGCAGGUGCAGGAUCUUGGGGGGGCCAGGGUGCUUCUCCUCCACGAUGGCUCUUGUUCUGGAAGCCGCCCUGCACGCAGAGUCAAAAAAACAAACAGGUGAGCACUCUUCAAACUGCAGAAGAGAAGGAUGUUAAAAUGUUUAAGGCAAUCUUUGUUUUACAGCGUGUCAAACCCAGCAGACGUGGAGACAGGCGAGCCUCAUACAUCUUGUUCCUCUCGCAGCUCUGCAUGACGUCAAGACUGCACACAAAAAGCAGGAUGUGAGGAGUGGUUGCUGCAAAUCACCCUCCUUCAGAAGAUUGCCUUGAACACAGAUGAGCAUGCAGUAGGAAAAUAGUCAACUGAGGCCAGAAUUUCUAAAACAAAGACAUCUGUUAAGUUUUGCCAUACAGCACAUUUGACAAGAGAUGAAACCCACCAGCAAUGAAGAGGAUGGGACUUGUUUCUCUCUGGGACUUUGUCCAAGCGCUCACAGGAAGCAGAGCAUGAAGGAAGGAAAAACAUUUGAACAACAUUGAGAUGAUUGUUCAGUGUAUUCACAGAGUGGACUGUCAAGUGUGUGUGGACACCAGUGCAAACGUCUCAAACUUGUCCAACUCCUCAGGCUGCUCCACAGUUUAGCUUCAGCAUCUUCUGAUGUGGUCAUCCAGCUGAAUUAAAAUAAGUUGCACUUGAGCCGACUGAAGCCGGAAUGACAGUUUCCUCAUUGCUGAUGACCAUCACCAUCAAGACGAGCGCGUCGACCAAUGUGUCGUGACCUCCCUGAAGAAGCCAAAAAGACAUCGCAGGUGCAGGAUCUUGGGGGCCAAGGUGGCUCUCUGCCACAAUGGAACUUGUCCUGGAAGCCACCCUGCAUGCAGAGUAAGUAAGCAAGUGACUGACUGAAGCUUUGGUGGAACUGAAGAAGAGACAGGUUUAAAAACUUUAAUGGCAAUCAUUUUGUUUUGCGGCAUGUCAAACCCAGCAGAUUUGGUGACGGUCAGGCUCGUACACGAUCUUGUUACUCACGCAGCGCUGGAUGAAGUCAAAAGGAUGUCCGUCUUUGACGCAGAUCAAGUCAGACCUUGAAGCAGGAAAUCUGCUUCACUCGUCGGUCCAAGCCGGGUUCAGGUUCUCCAGGGCCAAGAUGCUUUUGCACCACCUAGUGGACAUGAGCGAAGAGUAGUGAAGAGUGUUCAAACCCAGCAUCUCAGUCCUCAGGCAGCGGCGCUUCAAGUGGAGGUUGUCAUAACUGCACACAGAAGCAGGAUGUAAGGAAUAUUUGCUGCAAAGGCACAAUCUUCUACCAUCACCAUUGGAGAUGAAUGCAUUUUGGGUGUUGUGACAUGUUCCCACCUUAAUGAUGUCAUCACAGGAAUAAAUCUGUUAGCUUUU